UUGUUUGACACUUCACACUUUUGUUGAAUUUUCCUGUGCAUCUCCCUAGGUCCAUCUAUAAAGUGUUUCACUCCUACUCAAGUUACAUGAGGAUCAUUUCAGUCCGGAAUGAGGCGAACAGAGUGUGGAUUUUCAUGGGAGGGUGGUUGACCUCUCUGUUUGGCCAAUGAUUUCUCCAAACUCAACAACCCUACCUUCCUCUUAUUUCCCAACAAGAACCAAAAAAACAAAAUAAAAUUAUUAACAUUAAUAUAAUGUUUGUAUCAACAGCAAGAUUCAAGAGCAGUACUGUUAUUAUUACUUCCUCUGUUCCCAUCUUUUUUAAAAAACAGUCCACAAAUUGCUACUACCAAAAAAAAAAAGGAGAAAAUUGAAGGAAAGGUGUCUUUUUAAGUCUUGAAUUUGGAGAGGCAAUGAUGAUGAUGAUAUUUAGUAUUUGCUGUGUGAUAAUGAUUUCUGGGCUGAAAUUAUUAUUAUUAUUAUUCGGGGCAAUGGAGAAAACCCGACCCGUAUCUUGGCGGGGCAAAAUCCGAAGCCCGGUUCGUUUUGCAGCCAUGGCGUUGUCGUAUUUUUCUCCGUUUUGUUUCCCCCAUUUUACACACAUCUGAGCCUCCCUCUAUUUGACAAAUUCGGAUCCGGGUCGAUCUGGAUUUCGGUUCUUGAUGGAAACCCAGUUCAGUUUAGGUCAAAAGACUGAGGUAAUUGGAGAAAUAUUGGGAUUUUUUGGUAUCCGGUAUGUCAAUGAUUUCUACUUUGCUCUAAUUAACAACCCUUUUUUAGCUUUUGCUGUAAUUUCCUCUAUUUUGUUUUGGGGACUUGCGUUUUAGUAAUGCGCUAUUAAUAUGAGAAAGAUUUGCAACUUAUAGUAUUUUUGUAUAGUUUUCAACUAUCUAAAUUUAAAAUUUAAAUAUUGCAUUAAUCUAAUCAGUUUAGUUUCGAACAUUAGUCAAAUUGAUUCUCAUGAAGUAAAUCGUGUCAGUAAAAGUAAACACAGGGAGUACAUAGCAAUGGGCUUAGAAAUUGCAUGUUUUGGGGACAUACGUUAAGUUCUUUAGAAACUGAAGUUAUGUUCGACAUAACUUGUGGGAUAUUAUUAUAGGAAAAAUAUAAAUUUAUGUCUCGUGAAAAAGUUGUUUGUUAUGAGGCACGUAAAUUAAGGACCAGCACAAAAUAGGUGCAAAGUGCUAAUGACUCAUUGAUGGAAGCUCAGCCCAAGUUUGAAGAAUGAGGCCAACAGGGAGAAAGGGAAUUUUCUUUGGAGGGUGGUUGUCCCCUCUGAUUGGCCUAUGAUUUCUCCUUUAACCAACAACCCUAUGCAAAAGUGGAAACAAGAAAUAUUGUUUGUCACCAUCGCCUUCAGUGGUGGCGAUGUGAUGCUGAUGGCAGUAGUACUAUUCAAUUUUCUGAUCAUUCUGAGGAACGUUUAAUUGCAUGAUCAUAAACUCUUUGAAGGUGCGGGCCAAAAGUUUAAAUGACCCUCUGAGCUAAGGUCUCUUUUGUUUUAUGCUUAUGCUUAAAACCACUUAAAAUAAGUCCAUCGAAACAGGCUCUUGUUAUUUUUUCUUGUUAAGGUUUGUUCAAACGGGUUCUUUUGGACAAGUUUCCAUUUUUGUCAAAAGAGGCAGUGAUGAUAUUGCUAAACUAGGCUGAUGUUUUGGGCAUGGAGACAGUCUGACCCGUAUCUUGGCAUGGCAAACCUAGAUGGCUUGUGAUUGAGUCUUCUCUUUCACAUGCAGCUGGUUCCUCUGCAGCCGUGGUGGUUGUUGCCUUCUCCUUGUCCCCUUUUUUGCAGCUUUGAGCCUCAAUUUCCAACUACAAGAGUCAGUUGUAUGCGGCCUUGCUAGACACCAGUCAACAUUAACUCUCUUUAGCUGUCUAUAAAGUGUCUUUUACUUAAGAAUGAGGAUCAUUUCAGCCGGAAUGAGGCCAACAGUGAAAAAAUGGGAUGUUCAUGGUUGGUGGUUGCCCUCUCUGAUUGGCCUAUGAUUUCUCCUAAUUCAAACACGAAGAGUAAAAUAUUGUAUCAAUAUGAUAAUUAACUCUUAAAGAAUAUUAUUAAAAUGCAAUUUGGUCUGCAAAGAUUCACUUUCAAGCACCCAUCUUGUAAACUAUCCAUGUUUUCUUCCAAGCAACUCCCAAUUGUAUCUAUGUUUUCUUCUGUUAAUUAAUUUUCUAAUUGAACGCUGGCCUCCUUCUCCUCCAUAUUUUUUGUCACAUGUCUGAAAUUCGUGAAGCUAUUAAUGCGGAUCUAUCAUCCUUAGAGAAUGAGGGGGUAUGUUUAUAUCAUCCUUGGAAAAUUCAACCUCCAUUAAUGGAAUGGAAGUUAAGCUCGAAGAAGAUUGUGGUUGGGUGGGAAGACAUUGUGGUGGGGCUUUUUUGUAAUUAUUUGGUCAAAAAACCACGUGUUAUUAAUUCAUUGGACACCCUGCCAUAUGUUUUUUUUAAAAAAUAUAAAAUAAUUGUGGGUGUAUAUAAUGAUGUGGCGAUUUAAAUGAGUUGGCACAAAUCAGUUGGCCGUUUAAUCCAUGUUGGAAGCGAUUGCGACCCACGCGCUAGAGUUGAUGCAAAAAGGUGCCACAAUGACACAGUUGAUAGCUGGUUUAACGUUUUAAAAUGAACAACGUCCACUUUAGUGCCAAAGUAAAAGUUUGUGCCAAGUUGAGGGGCCUGGCGAUGUGUUUGGCCUAAAGUUAAUUAUCACUUAUGUUUUACUCUGGGUGUAUUUGGUAUGGAGGGAAAUGUUGUAAAUCAGCCCUAAAGUGGCUACCUUGUGUACAACAACAACAUACUUAGGGUGAUCCCUGGAAUGUGGCCGCAUUGUGUCGUUUCUACUAAUAUGACCUUCGACAUGAGGCCCAUAAUAAGGCAGUGAUGAUUCUCAUUCUUUACUCGUCAGAUGGUUGAGCUUCGCUGUAUCUUGGUGUGGCAGCUUUUGGUGGGUCGUGUGAGAUAUUGGAACUAUUUUGGUUUUCUGCCUCUCACAACGACUCUUUAAGCUUGCAGCCAUGGUGGGGUUUAACUUAUGUUUGAGAAAAGGUGAAUCUGAGCCUCGGAAAUCUCUGUUUGUGUUGAAAGAACGAGGCUUUUUAUACUACAUAACUUAUGCAACAUAACUUAAUUCCUUCAGAACAAAUGGGACAAAGGUUCUCUAAACUUACCAGGUGGCUUUCCAAACAGGCCCCAACUCUCUAUAGCCUCCAAUCUCCAUCUAUAAAGAGUCUUAACUCAAGAAUGUGGAUCAGUUCAGUGCAGAAGGAAGAAUGAGACCAACUGAGGGGAAAAAAAUGAAUUUCAUGGAGGGUGGUUGCCCUUGCUGAUUGGCCUAUGAUUUCUCCAUCCCACCAAACCAACAACCCUCCGUUGCUAUAGCAACAAUAGUACUGCUAAUUAUUACUCUCCAUUCCAUUUUUACUUUUCUUGAAAACUGUGCACAAAUUGCUAUACAAAAAAGCAGUGAUGAUGAUAUUGCUGUGUGAUUAUUCUGGACUGAAAAUUUGCAGCAACAGAGAAAACCGAACUCGUAUCUUUGGGGGGGAGGGGGAGGGGGGAGCAAAACCUGAAUCAUCCAAAUUGGGUUCAUUUUGCAGCCAUGCCGUUGUUGUCUUCUUCUCCUCGCCCCUGAUUUUACACACAUCUGAGCCUCUAUUUCAAAUCCCGAUUUACAUCCUCGGAAACUCAGUUCAUUUUAGGCAGAAUGACUGAGGCAAUCGGAGAAAAAUUGUCUCCGGUAUGUCAAUGAUUUCUUCUUUGCUCUAAUUAACAUCCCCUUUUUAGCUUUUGCUGUAAUUUCCUGUAUUUUUGGGAUUUACACUUUACAGAGCAACAUAAAGGGUGUGUUUGGUAUGGAGGAGAAUGUUUUCUAUGGAAAACGAUACAGUAAUUUCCUGUAUUUUUGGGAUUUACACUUUACAGAGCAACAUAAAGGGUGUGUUUGGUAUGGAGGAGAAUGUUUUCUAUGGAAAACGAUACAGUCUAUCCAAAUAUUUUAUUUGUCAAAUCAAUACAGUAUAAUAAAAUACAACACAGUACAAUCCGAUACAUUAUGAAACACAUGUAACAAUCAUCCAAAUUAAGUGUAACUCUCUAUAGCCCUAUCUAUAAAUAGUCUUUUACUCAAAAAUGAGUAUCAUUUCAGCCCAGAAUGAGGCCAACAGAGGAGAGAAAAAAAUGGGGUGUUCAUGGAGGGUGGUUGCCCUCUCUGUUUGGCCUAUGAUUUCUCCAAAACCUGCAACCGUCCCUUGCCAUUGAUAGCAGCAGCAGCAGCAGUACUACUAAUAUUAUUAUUAUCAUUACUUCCUCCGUUCCAUCUUACUUUUCUUGAGAAACUGUCCACAAAUUGCUAUACCAAAAAGAGGCAGUGAUGAUGAUAUUUGCUGUGUGAUAAUGAUUCUAGGCUGAAAAAUUCCCGGAGCAUGGAGAAAACCUGACCCGUAUCUUGGCGGGGCAAAAUCCGAAUCAUACAAACCAGGUCGUCUUGUUCUCCUUUUUGCCCCCCCCCCCCCCCCCCCCCCCCCAUCCUGAUUCGGAUCUCGAUGGAAAUCCAGUUCAGUUUAGCUCAAAGGGCAGAGGCAAUCCGAGAAAAAAUGGGUCUUUUUCAGUCUCUGGUAUGUCAAUGAUUUCUUCUUUGCCCUAAUCGACAACCCUUUUAGCUUUGCUGUAAUUUCCUUGAUUUAGGGACGUGCACUUUACAUAGCAAUAGACAUAAAAUUGCACGUUUUGCGGAUAUAAGUUCUUUAGAAACUGAAGUUACGCCUUAUGAUAUGAAAAUAUGAACUUAUGCCUCGCGAAAAAGUUGUUUGCUAUGAGGAUCCUAAAUUAAAGACCCAACACAAAAUAGGGCCAGAAGUAAGCUCUCAGCCCAGAAUGAAGAAUGAGGCCAACAGGGAGAAAAAGGGAGUUUCUUUGGAGGGUUGUUGACCGCUCCGGUUGGCCUAUGAUUUCUCCUUUAACCAAAUAAACAACCCUCUGCAAAAGUGGAAACAGGAAACUGUAUUUGUUUUCAUCUCCUUUAGUGGUGGUGAUGUGAUGCUGAUGCUGAUGGCAGUAGUACUAUCUGGUGUAGUUUGGUAGAGUGUAUAAGAAACUGAAGUUAUGCGUUAUGAUAUAAUAAUAUAAAUUUAUGCCUCACGAAAAAGUUGUUUUUCUAUGCGGGUCAUAAAUUAAAGAGCAAAACAAAACAGGAGCAGAAGUGCGAAUGACCCAGUAAUGGAAGGUCUCAGCCCAUAAUAAGAAAUGAGGACGACAUGGAGAAAAAGGGAAUUUCUUUGGAGGGUGGUCGCCCCCCUGAUUGGCCUACAAUUUCUCCUUUUGAUCAAACUAACAGCCUUUUCCAAAAGUGGAAACAAGAAAAAAUGUUUGUUGCCAUCACCUUCAAUGGUGGCAAUGUGAUGCUGAUGGCAGUAGUACUAUUCAAUUUUCUGACUAAUAUGAGUUGCAUUUAAAUUUUACUUGUAUGGUUUGCCCUUUAAUUUUUACCCUUAGUAUCUUUAAGGGCGUGGGGCAAAAGUGCAAAUGACCCUCUAAGCUAAGGUCUCAUUUGUUUCAUGCUUAUGCUUAAAUGACACUUAAAAUAAGCCCAUCCAAAUAGGCUUGUGUUAAUUUUUCUUGUUAAGGCUGUUCACUCUUCUGCAAAAGUUUCCAUUUUGUUUUUUGAAAUUGGUAAUGUUGUAUUCCUCAGAAUGCUGGAGACCUCCAAAAAGGGAUCACAGAGAGUAGCAGAUCUAAUUACAAGGAACCUAGCAUAUCUACUAGUUGUUCUACCUCUUCUAUACCUUCCUCUUUACACCAAAAAUAUAAACAUAUGAUACAUUUCUCCUUUACUCUGUGGAUGGAAUUAGAUUUGUUCUUAAAGCAUCUUCCGUUCCUUUCCUUCCAUAUUGACCACCAUAUGCAAGCUGGAAUCAUCCUCCACCACUUUUUUUGAUUUUUGCUUCCACCUCUUCUAAUCCAGCAGCUCAACAAGUCAGCAAGUCAGCAGUGUGUUCUGACAUUGUCCAACUAUUGUCUGUGAGUCUCAAAAACAGAUUCCAAAGUUGAGUUGUGACUCUACAAUGUAGAAAUAAAUGGUUGUUGGUCUCACUUGUCUCAUUGCAAAGAAAACAUCUGGGAACUAGUUGCCAACCUUUCCUCUGCAAUACCUCUUGAGUCAGGCAUGCCCUCUUAGCCACUAACCAUACAAAACAUUUGACCUUGCUUGGUGCUUGACUUAUCCAUAUUUGUUUCCAUCUAGCCAGUGUGAGAGUUUGAUAAGUUCCAAGUUCCUUUUGUAGAGCCUGUUGACUGUGAAGCUUCCAUCCUUUGAAUGUUUCCAUGAGAUUGUGUCCAUCCUUACCUCAAAACCUUUAAAUUCAUUGAGUGACUGUAACAGUUGUGCCACCCAAUCUAUUUCCCAAUCAUUUAGAUUUCUCCUAAAAGUUAUAUUCCGACCAUUUGACCAACUUUCUACCAAAGUGACUUCAGUAUUGUUGCAAAGACAAAACAAGUCAGGAAAAGUGUGCAUUAAGGUCUCUUGACCAGCCCAAACAUCCUUCCAAAAUAAGAUUUUAGCUCCAUUUCCUAUUUUCAGUUUGAUGUUUCCUGCAAGUCUAGUCCAGAGGGACCUUAUUGAUCUCCAAGUUGAGACUCCAUAGGGACUAGUAACUUCUUUUGUAUACCAUUGGGAGUCUUGACCAUAUUUAUGUUGUAUGACUAUUUUCCAGAGAGCCUGGUCGUCCUCCCCGUAUCUCCACAGCCAUUCACUCAUUGUGGGUUCUCAAAUUCUUAAUUCCAAGAUCACCUGAGAGUUUAGGUAAUUGUAUUGUUUUCUAGUUUACCAAGUAGUACCCUUUCCCUUGUUUCCAAACCACAAAAAUUCUCUUCUGAGCUUGUCUAGUUUCUUCCUUACCUUUGCAGGUAAAGGAAAUAAAGGUAUGACAUAAGUGGGAAGUGGGUCCACAACUGCAUUUAUUAGAGUAUGUCUGCCCCAAGUGACAAAUACUGCGACUUCCAUAUGGCUAAUUUCUUUUCAGUCUUUUGAAUUAUAUUUCCCAUAUCCUCAAUUCUUUGUGUUUGCUACCCAAAGGCAUUCCCAAGUAGGUUGUUGGGAGUUUGUCAAUCCUGCACUCUAAAAUGUUGGCAAGUCUUUGCAUCUGUGCUACUUCUUUAAUAGGGGAUAGACUACUCUUUCUCCAAUUGACUUUGAGGCCAGAAACAACUUCCAAAAUCAACAAAAUUACUCUGAUAAUUCUAAUCUGCUCUUCUUUUGCCUCACAGAAUAUCACAGUGUCAUCGGCAUAGAGUAAUUGGCAAAUCUUCAUAUUCGCCCUUGCUCUGUUGCUGACUUCAAAUCCCUUUAUCCAUCCGUUCUGAGUAGCCACCCGCAUCAUGCUGUUAAGUCCUUCCAUGACUAGAAUAAGUAAGAAUAGGGAGAGGGGAUCUCCCUGCCUUAAGCCCCUUUCAGAAGGAAAAAAACCCACAGGUUCUCCAUUGACCAGAAUGGAGAACCUGACAGUUUUAAUACAAAAACUUAUCCAUUUUAACCAUUUAUCUCCAAUCCCAUUUGCCUUAAGAUGCUAAUAAGAAACCCCCAAUUCACAUGAUCAUAUGCCUUUUCGAGAUCAAGCUUGCAUAUUAUGCCUGCGACCUCUCCUCUCAUCCUGGUGUCCACACAUUCAUUGGCUAUUAGGGCAGCAUCCAUGAUUUGUCUAAAAUGCCAUUUGACGUUUGUUCACCAACUUGUUCACCACCUGUUUGAGCCUUUGAGCUAAUACCUUAGCUAUAAUCUUGUAUAGCCCACUGAUUAGGCUUAAGUGAUGUAGCUCCAUUUUUCUUUGAGAUAAGUGCCACAAAAGUGGCAUUGAUACUUUUCUCAAAAACCUGAAACUCAUGGAAAUGAUGCAUAGUCUUCAUAUGUCUUCCUUCAUAAUAGGCCAAAUUUUUUGUAGAAGCUCAUUGAAACCCAUCAGGCCCUGGUGCCUUGUCACUAGCACAGAGCCUAAUACCCUGCAAGACUUCUUCCUCCUCAAAUUGUCUCUGUACCCAAAUUUGUUCCUCCAGGUUUAUGCUUGUGAAAUCUUGUAAGUUGAGAUCAGGUCUCCAUGUCUCUGUCUCUUCAUACAGGUUUUGAUAAUACUCUUGAACUAAAGUUUUGAUAGCAUCUGGAUCAGUAAUAAUACUUCCCUCCUCCUCAAUUUUGUCAAUGGUAUUGAACCUCUUAUGUGUUGUGGCCAUUUUGUGGAAGUACUGUGUUCUUGUCCCCAUUCUUCAACCAUUGGACUCUAGACCUCUGUCUCCAUGCUAUCUCCUCGUUCUUGACUACCUCCUCAAACUCCAUUUCAAGUUAAGUCUUAUGCAGUAAUUCAUCAUUUGUUAACGCUCUCUGUUCCAUGAUCGUUUCUAAUCCAGAUAUUUGGUUCAAGAUGUUCUCCGUCCUUUGUCUCCAGGUGUUCUGGUGUUCCUUUCCCCACUCUUUCAAUUUCUCUUUUAAGAGUUUCAAUUUAAAUGUCAGGAUAUAAGCCGGACUGCCAGAUGCAUUGAAAGAAACCCACCAUUCCUUUAACCCACCAUUCCUUUACUUUCUCUUUAAAACCCUCCACCCCUAUCCACCAUUGUUCGAAUUUAAAAUAUGGUUUCUUGAAAUCCAUAUCUCCACACGUUAACAUAAUGGGAUUGUGAUCUGACCCUAUUUUUGGCAAAAAUGAUUGUUUGAUGUGCAAAAAUUUUUCCUCCCAUUGAGAUGAGUACAGGAACCUAUCGAUUCUGGAGGCACUCUCAUGAUUAUCGCUUCUUCUCCAAGUGUAUGACCCUCCAAAUAAAGGAGGGUCAACAAGCUCCAUAUCAUUAAUCCAAUCUGAAAAUUCAUCCCCUGGGUAUCUUGUGAUGUUGAAGUCACCACAUAAUACCCAUGGUCCAUCACAGAGACUUCUAAUAGCUGCUAGCUCCCACCACAGUUCUCUUCUUUCUACCCUCUUGCAAUUUGCAUAGAUGGCAAUUAGAUACCAGGUCAUAUCUUGUUCUAAGCCCUCAAACCUGAAAGUGAGCAUCUGGUUUCCACUAUCUACCAGUUACCCCUUCCAUAAUCUUUUGUCCCAAAGCACCACUAUCUUACCACUUCUUCCAAUAGACUCCAUGUGAACUUCUCCCAGCCAUCUAUUGUUCCAGCCAUCUAUUGUUCCAGAUAUGUUGAUAGAAGUUUGAUUCAUUCCCAGUUUGCUUAGUUUCAACCAACACGUGAAUGUCGGCCCCCAUUGAACGAACAGAUUUCUCACAAUUCUUCUUUUGCUCUCCCCGUUUAACCCCCUUACAUUCCAAGAUAAUAUUUUAGUCUUCAUGAGAAACUUCUUGUGAUAUUCUCCCUCUUAACCUUGGCUCUCCUUCUUUGUAUUUCAUGUCGAAAGCCAGAUUUCUGACUUUCUUAGGGACUACUUCUUUGUGAAUUUCCUGCUUCCCUUCCCCCUUUUGUUUUUGUACCAUCCCUCUCCUUUGGUCAAUUUUGAGAAGAAGUUCAUAAGCCAUCUCCUUACACCCCUCAUAAGAUGCCCCAAACUUUUUCCUUAAUUUGAUCACAUUCGAGUGUAUCCACAAUGUUGCUUUCUCCUUCGCUGCCUCCUCGCUGAUUGGCUCAUCCACUUGUAAUGGUUCUAUGUCAUUAAAAUUCAACAUUUGCUUAGGGUUUUCCUCAUGGUUAUCUUGCCCCUCCCAAAGUUGAAUUUCUGAGCAGCUGCUCCCAAUUAUUUCUUUUUCCCCUUGUGGAUUUUGGCUCUCCAUGUACUGUAUCAGGCUCCCCUCUCUCUCUCUGAUUCUCCUCCGUGAUUCUGAUUGCUUCAAGUUCAUCAACAAAGAUGAAGAAAUCUUGAUUAUCGACUGUGUUUUUUUGUUGACUAUGGAUGUACUCUGUGAAAAGCUCAGCAGUUUUUAUUUUUGUGGCUUGUAAAAGAUUGGGCUUAAAACAAGGCCCAAUAUUUUGUCCAUCUAAUUCCACUGACUUGUAUUAUAAGUCUUUGGGCAGCAAAAUUUUAAGUCCAUUCAUACCAGGUGUCUCUUUCGACCCCACUCUUGUGGACCCACUCUCACGUGCCACGCUCUUGGCUCUACCCCAUUUGUCUUUCUCCUGGCUCUCCUCAAUAUCCAACGGAUAUUCCCCAACGCUUCUUUUUCCUCAUUCAUACUCUGUUUCUUUCAUCUUCAAAGAUCCAGCCAGGCUGUCUACCUCCUUCCAUAUCUUGUCCCUUUCUUCUCGUUGAAAGAGCUUGCCACCAUUGACCUUUCUGUAUCUUGCCGGAGCCUCUACCCAGAUUGGUAAAGAAAACACUGUGUCGCCAUCGGCGACCUCUACAAAUCGUGGGAUUUCCUCGAGACGUCCCUUCACCUUGAUGCGAGCCCAUCUCAAGUGGUUCUUGAGCAUAGUCUCUUCUUCUGUUUCUAACCAUCCACCACACUCGUCUCCUAUUUGUUUCAUCACUUUUUCCGACCAAAGCUGAAGGGGGAGUCCGAGGGCUCUUAUCCAAAACCAAUCACACUUAGCCUGGGUCGGAUAAGCCCCUACUGUUGGGGACCACCAUUCAAGCUUCAAGCUUCUGCUUCGUCUCUUCCAGGUUCCUCCCAGGAUGUGUUCUCCCAGUUUUCAUUUUUUAGGCAGUGAUGAUAUUGCUAAUCUGGGCUGAUGUUUGGGCAUCGAGACAAUGUGACCCAUAUAUUGGCAUGGCAAACCUGGAUGGCUUAUGAUUGAGUCUUCUCCUUUACAUGCAACUGGUUCUUUUGCAGCCGUGGCGGUUGUCGAUUUCUCUUUGCCACACUUUUUGCAGCUCCUCAAUUACCAACUAGUAUGAUUGUCCAAGGACUCCAAGAAUUUUGAACCUAAAUGAAGAAAAGACUUCAAUGCACACACAAACACAUACACAAAAACACACAUCAUCAACAACAACAUACCCUGUGUAUUCCCACAAAGUGGGGUCUGGGGAGAGUAAAGAGUACGUAGUCCAUGCCACUACCUCAGAAUGAAGUAGGGAGGCUGUUUCUGAUAGACCCCUGGCUCUAGACAAACAGUAUAAGAAGACAUAAUAAAAACAAAAAACAAGAUGGACUAACACACACACCAAUAGAUCAUAUAAAAAACCAGACACCCACAGAGUAGUACUAUAAACUAUCUAUUUCGAAAACAAACAUCACCAAACACCACACACAAGAAACUACAAGAGACGCACAUAGCACUACGACUACUGAUACAACUACAAAUAAAGCAUCCCUUCCUACUAGCAAGGACGCACUUCCACCUACUAACCGUCUACCCUAAUCCGCGUCUUUCCCACCUUCUAUCUAGUCCAUGUCAUGUCUAAUAACCCGCCCUCCAAUAUUUCUUCGGCCCCUCUAUCCUGCUAGAAACCAUCUAUAGCCAAUCUCUCACACCUCUGAACUGGGGCAUCCGCACACCUCCUCAUCGUACAUCAUGAGAAAAUGAAAAAGGGUCGGGGCAGUGAUGAUGAUCUUUUGAUCUAUCCUCUUGAUCUAGUAAUUGGUCAUUGAAAGUACCCGAUCGGUAUCUUGGCGGGGCAAUGACCCGGAUGCUUGUGAGUUUGUUGCAUGAAACUGGGGAAUAUUUGCAGCCAAUGCUUGGCUGGACUUUCUUUGCCUGAGCAUAAAUACAGAUCUGAGCCUCAGUUGUCACUUCUGUAUUACUCCAGGUGUACUUGGUAUGGAGGAAAAUGUUUUAGUGUAUCAGCCCCAAAGUCGCUACUUCGUGUUCAACAACAUAUCCAGUGUGAUCUGGAAAGUGGCUACCUUGUGUUAUUUCUACAAAUAAGAACCUUCAACACGAGGCUCAUAAUGAGGCUGUGAUGAUUUUCAUUCUUUACUCAUCAGAUGGUUGAGCUUUGCUAUAUCUUCGCGUGGCAGCAUUUGUGAUUUCUUGUGAGAUAUUGGAGUAUUUUGGCUUCUGCCUCUCACAAAGUCUCCAUAAGCUUGCCGCCAUGGUGCGGUUUAGCUUAUGUUUGAGAAAAGGUAAAUCUGACCCUUCCAAAUUUCUGUUUGUGUUGAAAGAAUGAGGCUUUUUAGAAUACAAAACUUAUGCUGCUUAACUUAAUUCCUACGGAACUUAACCGAGUUGAGCGAGACAAAAGUUCUCUAAAAUUAUGCCGUGACAAAAGUUACCUAUGUUGGGGCAAUCCGUGCAAUAACUUGUUACAUGCAUUGAGAAAAUCUGACCCGCAUCUUGGCAGGGCGACCCGGUAGGACAUAAUUUGUAUACUGAUGUCUGCAGCCAUGGCGUUUUCGCUUUCUCUUUGCAUGUUCAUAUACAACAGAAAGUCUGGUAAAUUUCUCAAAUGGUCACUCAACUGAUGGGGGUUCUCAGGAACCUGAAUACCCAAUCGUUUUCAGUCCGAGCAACAUAGAAUACGUUCAAUGAGGCAAUGGAGAUGUUCAUUCUUUUAGAAUCUGAUAGUUGAACUUUGUUGUAAAUUGGCGUGGUAGCUUUAAGGGUCUAUGAGAUGAGGGAACUAUAUUGGUUUUCAUCUUACUAGGGCUAUUAAAGCUUGCAGCCAUGACACAGUUUAGCUUUUUACUGAGAAAAAGCAAAUCUGAGCCUCCCAAGUAUCUGUUUGUGUUCAGAAGUUAGGUUUUUUAUUGAACUCGAGAAUGGGAGAGAUUUUCCAAGGGUGGUUAUUCUCUUUUUCCCAAGUUCAAAACCAAUGAAUUUUGCUAUGCUUUUGUCAUAAAAAUAAAAGUUUAACAACUCUUUUCAUCAGCAAAAUGCUCUUGAUGAUGAUGAUGAUGAUGAUGAUGAUGUUAUGUUUGCAUGAUUAUGGUAAUAAUAAGGGAAAAUACAUAUUUUGCCCCUUCGACCUGUCCGGAAAACCCUUAAUCCUUCUACCCUAAGGGGUCAUUUGGUUGGAAACAAGUUAUCCUAGGAUUAGUUAUCCGAUGCAGUUUUUUCCAACCAAACAUGGGAUAAGCUCAUACUAAAAUUAAUUCCGGGAUUAGUAUCCUUAUCCCUUUUACCAAACGAGCCCUAAAUUUAUGAAUAAGGCUGUGAUAUUCCCCAGGAAGACUGAAAAUCAGGUUUUUGAGCUGAUUUGUAUCUGGGCUAGGCAAAGGCAGGAGAAUUUGUCAGGGCAGAUUUUUCUGUACCUUUCAAAGGCUUCUGCUUUUUGCAGCCAUGGCGGAUUGGCUCUUUUUUCUGAUUUGAGGGAAAAAAUAAAAGACCACCUUAUUUCAGGGCAAUCCGUGCAAAAACUUGUUACUUUAAUGCAUUGAGAAAACCGGACCCGCAUCUUGGCUGGGCGACCUGGUAUGGCAUAAUCUGCAAACUGGUGUCUGCAGCCAUGGCGUUGUCCCUUCUCUUUGCAUGUUCAUAUGUAAAAUUUCUCAAAUGGGCCACUCAGCUGAUGGGGGAGUUGUACUUUGUUGUAAAUUGGCGUGGCAGCUUUAAGGGUCUGUGAGAUUAGUAUAUUGGUUUUCAUCUCGCUAGGCUGUUAAUGCUUGCAGCCAUGGCAUAGUUUAGCUUUUUUCUGAGAAAAAGCAAAUCUGUGCCUCCCAAGUACUCCCUCCAUUUCACCGAAUCAUCAACCCUAAACUUUGUGAAUAAGGCUGUGAUGAUAGUCUCCAGGAAGCUUGAAAGUCAGAUUUUUGAGCUGAUUCGUAUCUUGGCUAGGCAAAGGCAGGGGAAUUUGUGAUGAUAGGUUUUUAUGCACCUCACGAAGGCAUCUGCUUUUUGCAGCCAUGGCCGAUUGGCUCUUUUUUCUGAUUGAUUUUCACUCAAAUCUGAGCCUCUUUUCUGUUUAAAGUUUAGUUCUACAAUAUUUAGUCUUUCUUUUUCAUUCUUUGUACGAUUAGUUCAUAGUUGAAAGAGGCGAAGAGCUCCCUACGAGAAAGAAACUUUUUUGUAUCUAUCUAUACAAUUUCCACAAAUUGUUAGGUACCGAUAUGAGAAAAGUCUAAAGUGAAUUGAAGUGAAUAUUGGAGUAUCCAUAUGUUGUUGCUGCACACAAUAUUUAUUUUUAAACUUUUCAUGCUUUGCUUUCAAUCCUGAAAUAUCCAUGUUUCAGAGGCAUUGAAGAUUGUUCAUAGUGAAAUAAAAGUGAAGAAAAUUAGAGUUGAUUUGUGGCCUGGCUUGGCGAUUUCAAUUGGAAGGUCUUUUAAGGCAACAGUUGCUUGCAGCGGAUGGUCUUAUAAGGCAACAGUUGCUUGCAGCCAGGGCACUGUUAACUCUGCUCUUCCUUUGUUUAAAUAGGCGAAAAUCUGAGCCUCAUUCUUAACGUAGUUCAUUUAUUUUUGUUUACUGGUCUUUCGGGAAGAGAUUUAGUUUUCCAUCACCGUGGAACCACUGAAAUCAACAGCUCAGGCUGCCAAUGUCAAAAACCAUUUGCUAUCUUGAUUGGGUUGGCGAAAAUUGGAUCUGCCCACACGAAAAGGAAAAUGGCUGCGCAGCGAGUACGUGGGUGUUUGCAAAGAUGAAGAAGGGAGUCUGACUAAUAAAUGUUGCUCGAGGGGGUAUCAUUGAUGAAGACACAUUAGUUAGAAACCUUGAUAGUGGAAUUGUUGCUCAAGCAGCACUUGAUGUGUUCACAGUGGAACCUCCUCCAAAAGAUAGCAAAUUAGUGCAACAUGAGAAUGCUACUGUUACCCCUCAUCUUGGAGCUAGCACAAAGAAGGCACAGGAAGGUGUUGCAAUUGAAAUAGCCGAGGCUAUUGUCAGUGCUCUAAAUUGGGAACUUUCGUCCAUCUCUGUGAAUGCACUGAUAGUUCCUCCUGACGGGUGGAUCGAGGAUUUGAAGAUCGUGGUUGCUCACUUCCUUUAAGUAUAAAAUUGCUAGCAAUCACAGAGAACAAAUGUAUAGCUACUCGAACAAUGAACACAUCAAUAAAGACUUCAGUGAUAAAACAAUGAUUAAUAUUACCAUCACCAAAAAAUAACUUUCAAUCACAAGUCACAAUGGCUUACUAGUAAUAUUAUCAUUGGAAAAGGAGACUUCUAGUCUUUAAGUCA
This is a long non-coding RNA of Capsicum annuum, 14959 nucleotides long. RefSeq lists it as uncharacterized. The transcript is spliced from 4 exons. The record is from RefSeq and is a predicted model, not a curated record. NCBI's taxonomy places the organism in Eukaryota, Viridiplantae, Streptophyta, Magnoliopsida, Solanales, Solanaceae.